AGGUCAUCUAACCCUCAUGAGCAGCAAGAAACCAAGACGAUUACUUUCCCAUAGUCCCUUAGACACUGGUUUCCUGGCUUUGAAGGACUCUCCAGUUUUUAAUCUAUUCACAAUACAGAGCCCAAAAGACGAAGGAGAGAACCAUCCUAACUAGACAUGAUAUUUGGAGCCUCGCGUGACAGCCAUGCACUGAGGUACUUUGUCGAGGGAACAGAGCACAGACCGAAGCAGAAGAGGCACCUUGAUGGAAGUACCCUGUGCUGGGGAAUAACUGUGGCUGAAGAAAACUCAUCCUUGUGUUACCCCCCAAAAAGACCUCUCAGGUCAAUUUGAGAAACAUCAAAAUAUAAGUUCAUCUAAAUUUUUCCAAGUCCCAGAACCUUAAACAAUCAUUCCCCCAUCAAACAUACAUAAGACUGUAUCUGAAAAGGUGCCGUUGUGUUGUGUGAUAGUUGUUUGUGUUCUGACAAAUAAAGCUUGCCUGGAGAUCAGAGACGCAAACGAGCAUCCACCAGUGACUUCCUUACCUCUAUGGAUCCUCUGACCAAAUGGGAGCUGAGAUCCUGUCUCCACCUCCCUAGUGCUGGCAUU
Non-coding RNA from Peromyscus maniculatus bairdii (prairie deer mouse), 591 nucleotides. Lineage: Eukaryota; Metazoa; Chordata; Mammalia; Rodentia; Cricetidae. The record is from RefSeq and is a predicted model, not a curated record.